Long non-coding RNA from Podarcis raffonei (Aeolian wall lizard), 504 nucleotides. RefSeq lists it as uncharacterized. NCBI's taxonomy places the organism in Eukaryota, Metazoa, Chordata, Lepidosauria, Squamata, Lacertidae. The transcript is spliced from 2 exons. The record is from RefSeq and is a predicted model, not a curated record.
CAUCCCAUUUUUUGAUGUUGUAGCAGCCAGUGAGGCAGAAUGGUGUGGGAUGGCCAAUCCACUACUCCUGCCACUGUGCCUGGACCACAAUAACCUUCCUGCUGCCUCAUCUCUACCCCUCUCACUCUCGGAUACCAACAACAACCUCCACAUUGGGAAGCCAAAAGUUUCUUCAUUGCCUCAGAACUCUAGUUCCAGCCAUGGCUCACCAUGUUGUGAAGACCACAAUGGCAGAAGAGACAGUGACCAGAGACUGACAAAUUACAGGCCAGCUGAGCCAGCACUAUACUCUUAUGUGGUGGUGCCCUGAGGCCAAGAAAUCCCAGUUUUUGGUAACAAAGCCCUUCCAUCAGAUGCUGCUGCAAAUUCCAACAACAGCUGCAAUGAAGGGAAGACUUGCCUGUCCCAUUGGUUGAGUGAGAUUCAGCUGCUCAGUCCUCCUGCUUUGCCUUGGAGAACAACACUAAGGAAUCCUGUCACUAUAAGAACAUUUCUUUAAUAUCA